Molecule: ribosomal RNA, 253 nt
Filed under: uncultured bacterium
Lineage: Bacteria
Description: partial 16S ribosomal RNA
Rfam family: Bacterial small subunit ribosomal RNA
Source: RNAcentral
UACGGAGGGUGCAAGCGUUAUCCGGAUUCACUGGGCGUAAAGGGUGCGUAGGUGGUGAGGUAAGUCGGAUGUGAAAUCUCCGAGCUCAACUCGGAAAUGGCAUUGGAAACUACCUUGCUCGAGGGUUGGAGGGGGGACUGGAAUGCUUGGUGUAGCAGUGAAAUGCGUAGAUAUCAAGCGGAACACCAGUGGCGAAGGCGAGUCCCUGGACAACUCCUGACACUGAGGCACGAAAGCUAGGGGAGCAAACAGG